AGAGCACUAUUGAUUAGUUGGUUAAAUUAUUAUCCUUGCACUUUGAUUUUGUAAUGAAGAAAAUUUUAGGGACAAAUUUGUUUAGAAAUCAUC
Molecule: non-coding RNA, 93 nt
Organism: Populus trichocarpa (black cottonwood)
Lineage: Eukaryota; Viridiplantae; Streptophyta; Magnoliopsida; Malpighiales; Salicaceae
Source: Rfam